This 908-nucleotide long non-coding RNA is filed under the name Pan troglodytes (chimpanzee). RNAcentral's name for it is "long non-coding RNA NONPTRT001390". Lineage: Eukaryota; Metazoa; Chordata; Mammalia; Primates; Hominidae. The record is from RNAcentral.
AGUUUAAACUUGCAUUUACCUUAUGAUAAGAGGUGUUGAGGCUGGGUGCAGUGGCCUCAGAAGAAUGGCAUGGCAUUCAGAGGGUGGUGUUAGCUCACUACAGAUAAGAAGGGUAUUCUGGUACAGGAAAAAAUCCAGGUGCGACAUCAUGGAAUGGUGUUGAGUUCAUAGUUUUAUCCUUUGGGAGAUGCGAUGCUGUUGGGGAAGCCCGUUCUUUUCCACUUUUUUCCUGAUUGUCUUCUCCCAAUGUCUUCACUCACUCUAAUUGUCUUCAUAUAUACUUUAUAUAUACUCUCUUAUAAUCAGUGAUGUUAACACUUUCUUAAAUGCUCCAAAUUGCCUGUUUAAAUAUUCUAGCUACAGCUUUAAAAUAAUUCUUCUAUUGUCUCUUAUAUUUACAGUUAUGGGCUGCAUAACAACAUUUCAGUCAAUGAUGUCUGUUUUAUUAGUCUAUUCCUGGAUUACUGCCACACUAUAUUAGAUUGAGUAGCUUUAAAAUUUAUUUUUAUGUCUAGUGACAGAAGUUCUUUGUCCUGAGUUUUCCAGUCUCCUCCAUUUUUGUGAUCCUCCUCCUCGAACUUACAAAAGCACUGUCACAUUCACAGUGCACUUGGUACUCAUGAUAACACUAUGAAGUGUUAUGGCAAAUAUUGCUAGUUGUUGCCAAUUUCUAUGUUCUUCUUCUAUAGUAACAGAAUUUCUGCUUUUUGUAUGGAAAUAAAAGCCACAUAUCCCAGCCUAGUUAGGUGUGGCCAUAUAGUUAAUUAUGGCCAAUGGGAUGAGAGUAGAGGUAAUGAGGUAUAAGUAGAGUUAGUGUUUGUAAAUUCAAUGCUCUGUCAACAAAUGGGGACAGCACACUGUCUCCACUGGCUGGAAUAAUGCUGGGCUUGAGAAACCUUGUUCUAGGU